Molecule: ribosomal RNA, 559 nt
Filed under: uncultured bacterium
Lineage: Bacteria
Description: bacterial SSU rRNA
Rfam family: Bacterial small subunit ribosomal RNA
Source: RNAcentral
CCUACGGGAGGCAGCAGUGGGGAAUCUUGCGCAAUGGGCGAAAGCCUGACGCAGCCAUGCCGCGUGAAUGAUGAAGGUCUUAGGAUUGUAAAAUUCUUUCAGUAGGGACGAUAAUGACGGUACCUACAGAAGAAGCCCCGGCUAACUUCGUGCCAGCAGCCGCGGUAAUACGAAGGGGGCUAGCGUUGCUCGGAAUUACUGGGCGUAAAGGGAGCGUAGGCGGGUUAUCAAGUUGGAGGUGAAAGCCCAGGGCUCAACCUUGGAAUUGCCUUCAAAACUGAUAGCCUAGAGUAUGAUAGAGGUAAGUGGAACUCCGAGUGUAGAGGUGAAAUUCGUAGAUAUUCGGAAGAACACCAGUGGCGAAGGCGACUUACUGGAUCAUGACUGACGCUGAGGCUCGAAAGCGUGGGGAGCAAACAGGAUUAGAUACCCUGGUAGCCCACGCUGUAAACGAUGAUUGCUAGUUGUCGGACGGCAUGCCGUUCGGUGACGCAGCUAACGCAUUAAGCAAUCCGCCUGGGGAUACGGUCGCAAGAUUAAAACNCAAAUGAAUUGACGG